RNAcentral lists this transfer RNA (72 nucleotides) under Camelus bactrianus (Bactrian camel). It matches the Rfam family "tRNA". From Rfam's summary of the family: Transfer RNA (tRNA) molecules are approximately 80 nucleotides in length. Their secondary structure includes four short double-helical elements and three loops (D, anti-codon, and T loops). Lineage: Eukaryota; Metazoa; Chordata; Mammalia; Artiodactyla; Camelidae. RNAcentral also lists the same sequence under 2 other names. The record is from Rfam by way of RNAcentral.
GAGUGUAUAGCUCAAUAGUAGAGCACGUGCUUAGUAUGCAUGAGGUCCUGGAUUCAGUCCCCAGUACCUCCA